UUGCUUCAGCAGCACAUAUACUAAAAUUGGAACAAUACAGAGAAGACUAGCAUGGCUCCCAUGCAAGGAUGAUAUGCAAAUUCAUGAAGCAUCCCAUAUUUUU
This is a small nuclear RNA of Ailuropoda melanoleuca (giant panda), 103 nucleotides long. NCBI's taxonomy places the organism in Eukaryota, Metazoa, Chordata, Mammalia, Carnivora, Ursidae. The record is from Ensembl.